Molecule: non-coding RNA, 1434 nt
Organism: Cyanistes caeruleus (blue tit)
Lineage: Eukaryota; Metazoa; Chordata; Aves; Passeriformes; Paridae
Source: RefSeq, a predicted model, not a curated record
AACUCUGUUUGCUUUGCCGUUCCCACAAACGCAGUCUUUGCCCUGCACAAAAACCCCCUCCUGCUGUCAGCUGUGAUUAACCAGCCCCAAGGAGCCCCUGCCAGCCAGGCUGCAGCAGGGCCAGCCCCACUGGAAGCACAGCUACCCCAAACAAUCCCCCAACAGAUGAACACUGUGGCCAGCACUGGGAAGGAAGCAAACUCUCUCUCUGCCCAGGCCUGUGUUAAUCCCAUUGUCCUUCCCAACACCAAAUCUGCCAAUGGUUGACUUCUGCAACUUCUAAUUGAGCAUCCCUGGGAGGACCUGCACCCCAUCUCCAGCUCUACCUCAUCCUUCAGCAAAGGUGAUUCUCCUGCCCCGACUCCUGAAGCCCAGCUAUCACCCAGAAGAAAUCUUCCUUGACCCUUGCAGAGAAGCAGGAGACAUCAACCAUAGGAUCAACAGAGUCUUCUUCUCACACAGGAAUCAGUGAGACUGUGUCCACAGGAGCUCAGUGAAACUCUGCACCUUGAAGGGAAGACCCACAAGGACUACCUGCACCCAAGCCACUGACUGCAGUCCUCUGAUGGACCAUAAACUGGCUGUCAACCACCCCACCACAGACCAACUGCAGCUCACUUGGGCUUCCUUGGCAAUCCUCAGCCACAGUCUGACCCAGGGGUGAAGCCACCCUGCCUUCCCUGUGCAAGUUCUCUCCAUCUCCUGGCUCUGACCAUCCCCAUCCAGCGCAGAGAUCGGGGACUCCUGGCUCUCACCAGUCCCAGCCCACAUCUCCUCCAGUGAUGCAGCCCUGGGCUGAUGUUAACAGAGCGUUAAACCUCAAAUUAGAGCACGGCUGGAGCAAGCCUGGGAUAUUUCCAGUUUCCCCUAGGAAGGCAAUGCUGCCAGCUCUUUGUUUUGUAGUGAGGCAUGUGAUAAUUUGGCAUCAUCUUCUAAGUUCUGAAAUUUGCUGGAACAAAAGAAAUGUUGAGCUUUCAUUAAGAGGAAAAAACAAAGUGUACAGUCUCAAGUCAUAAACACAGACUUGCAAAUACAGCCCAUGAGUGCCUGAAUACAAUUAAGAAGACUCUAAACCAGUGCUCAUUAAGUGUCUCGGUUGCUGGAUAGCUUAUUUGUUCAUUCUUAUUAUUUGAUUAGAUUUGAUAACUCAAAUUGUUUGGAGCUGUAUUUCUGCUGUGGUUCAUCUAUUGCUAAAUUCCUUUCACAGGCCUCCUUUACAACCCUUAGGAAUUCAGGUGGUCACUCCGCAGUGUUAUUUUAAAACUGAUGUUUUGAGAUAUACUAAUAUAGAGAACUAUCAAUCCCUUAAAUUUCACUUACUGCUGCUUUUGGAUGAUGUGUUUCAGCAGUUGCAGGCAGGCACGGGCAUACAUUCAGUAAGUCAACUGCCAGAAAAAUUCCUCCCAUAUUAUAGGAAAAAUAAAAGCAUUUCAG